UGCCUCCUGGCAAUGGGCAGAGACACCUUGCUGGUAGUAAUAUUCUUCUAUCAGUCAGGGGCAGAGCAGAUGGCAGUCUUUUGGUCAUCCUAGCUUGAUGCCUGGCUUGGUGGCCAAAGCUGUUUUAUGCCCAGAACACAUUA
This is a small nucleolar RNA of Psammomys obesus (fat sand rat), 143 nucleotides long. RefSeq annotates it as small nucleolar RNA SNORA48. The record is from RefSeq and is a predicted model, not a curated record. The transcript has a single exon. NCBI's taxonomy places the organism in Eukaryota, Metazoa, Chordata, Mammalia, Rodentia, Muridae.